CCUACGGGAGGCAGCAGUGAGGAAUAUUGGUCAAUGGACGAAAGUCUGAACCAGCCAUGUCGCGUGCAGGAUGACGGCCCUAUGAGUUGUAAACUGCUUUUAUACGAGGGUAAUACCAGAUACGUGUACCUGUUUGCAAGUACCGUAUGAAUAAGGAUCGGCUAACUCCGUGCCAGCAGCCGCGGUAAUACGGAGGAUCCAAGCGUUAUCCGGAUUUAUUGGGUUUAAAGGGAGCGUAGGCGGUUUUAUAAGUCAGAGGUGAAAAUUCGGGGCUCAACUCCAGACGUGCCUCUAAUACUGUAUGACUAGAGAAUAGAUGCGGUAGGCGGAAUGUAUGGUGUAGCGGUGAAAUGCGUAGAGAUCAUACAGAAUACCGAUUGCGAAGGCAGCUUACCAAACUGUGACUGACGUUGAGGCACGAAAGCGUGGGGAGCAAACAGGAUUAGAUACCCGGGUAGUC
RNAcentral lists this ribosomal RNA (460 nucleotides) under uncultured bacterium. Its description in RNAcentral is "partial 16S ribosomal RNA". It matches the Rfam family "Bacterial small subunit ribosomal RNA", at positions 338 to 795 of the family's 1533-position model. The record is from RNAcentral.